UCUCCGAGCCUCAGUUUCCCCAUCUUCCGAAAGGGGCCUGGCAUAUCCUGGGCAGGCAGAUGGUGGAUCAGAGGUAGUGAGGUGCCUACAAGGAAAUGCUCCCAACAGGGUGGCUUGGAGGAAUCCUCCUUCCUCAGCACUCAUGGGCCGGGCACUGUUCUAGGCUGUGGGGGUGGGGAUCGAGCAGUGGCCACGCUGACAAAGCCCCUACCCUUGUGGAAGUGACAUUCUACUGAGGCCAUGGACACGUACAGUACCCAAUCUCCCACCCUCCACCUGCCAGAAUGACAGAGGCUCCCCCAUGGAGAUUCCUGGCAUGCCCAGCCCCACGUCUGGGUUGAGAGUAGUGACUCAGGAGAAAAUGAAGGCUACUGCUAGCAACCAAAUGAGGUCACCGUCAAGAUUCCCGGAUAGAAGUCAUUCAUGAGACACA
RNAcentral lists this non-coding RNA (433 nucleotides) under Pan troglodytes (chimpanzee). The record is from RNAcentral. Lineage: Eukaryota; Metazoa; Chordata; Mammalia; Primates; Hominidae.